AUGGCGUCGGCGACGGAGAUGCAGCCGCUGGCACCGUCGGGCUACCGCCGGGCGCCGGAGAUGAAGGAGAAGGUGGAGGCGUCGUCGAUCGACCUGGAGGCGGGGAACGGGGAGACGCUCUACCCGGGGAUCUCGCGCGGGGAGAACGCCCUCCGCUGGGGCUUCAUCCGCAAGGUCUACGGCAUCCUCUGCGCGCAGCUGGUCCUCACCACCGUCGUCUCCGCCAUCACCGUCUUCUACCCCACCCUCAACGCCACGCUCUCCAACUCGCCCGUCCUCGCGCUCGUGCUCGCCGUCCUCCCCUUCAUCCUGAUGAUCCCAUUGUACAUCUAUCAGCACAGACACCCUCACAAUCUUGCUAUCUUGGGUUUGUUCACUCUGUGCUUGAGCUUCAGCAUUGGUGUGGCUUGUGCAAACACUGAAGGAACUAUUGUGCUUCAAGCAUUGGUACUGACCUCAGCUGUGGUUGUCUCUCUGACUGCAUACACAUUCUGGGCCGCAAAGAAGGGCAAGGAAUUUAGUUACCUUGGACCGUUUCUGUUUUCUGCUCUCACCAUCCUGGUCGUGAUAAGCUUUACCCAGAUCUUCUUCCCAUUUGGACCUGCAUCGAAUGCUGUGAUCGGUGGGUUUGGAGCUCUAGUCUUCUCAGGCUUCAUCGUCUACGACACUGAGAACUUGAUAAAGCGCCACACUUAUGACGAGUACAUCUGGGCGUCUGUUGAGCUUUACCUCGACAUCCUCAACCUGUUCCUGACCAUCCUACAGAUGCUCAGGCAGAAUGACAACUGA
RNAcentral lists this ribosomal RNA (789 nucleotides) under Triticum aestivum (bread wheat). RNAcentral's name for it is "partial small subunit ribosomal RNA". The record is from RNAcentral. Lineage: Eukaryota; Viridiplantae; Streptophyta; Magnoliopsida; Poales; Poaceae.